RNAcentral lists this long non-coding RNA (347 nucleotides) under Setaria viridis. Its description in RNAcentral is "long non-coding RNA (SVIR_LNC003905)". The record is from RNAcentral. Lineage: Eukaryota; Viridiplantae; Streptophyta; Magnoliopsida; Poales; Poaceae.
GCUUACUGGGAAUGUAGAGUGGUAUGUCAUGGUUCAUUUGAUCAGCGCCUCCUCAUUUUACGGAGAAUGCGAGUCACUUUGUCCAAAUCGUGAGUAAAAAGAAGACGUUAAGACUUGAAGAGUCAUCGGAGUAAUAGUCCAUGGGAUCCAAAUUCUUGUUAGAGCAAUCUCUGUGGAGGUUUUAUCUUAUCAACCAGUAAAAAUACUAAUUCGCCGCGUGUACAAUGAUAUGCCCCUAAUAAGUGACAAGUAUGUUCACUCCGCCCUACCCAUUUUUUUGGGAUUUACCCCACAGUUGCCAAACGAUCUCACUUGCUUUGAUCAUAUUUGGGCCUUGUUUACUUCCC